Molecule: ribosomal RNA, 736 nt
Filed under: uncultured Bacteroidales bacterium
Lineage: Bacteria; Pseudomonadati; Bacteroidota; Bacteroidia; Bacteroidales
Description: bacterial SSU rRNA
Rfam family: Bacterial small subunit ribosomal RNA
Source: RNAcentral
GAUGAACGCUAGCUACAGGCUUAACACAUGCAAGUCGAGGGGCAGCAUGGUCUUAGCUUGCUAAGGCUGAUGGCGACCGGCGCACGGGUGAGUAACACGUAUCCAACCUGCCGUCUACUCUUGGCCAGCCUUCUGAAAGGAAGAUUAAUCCAGGAUGGGAUCAUGAGUUCACAUGUCCGCAUGAUUAAAGGUAUUUUCCGGUAGACGAUGGGGAUGCGUUCCAUUAGAUAGUAGGCGGGGUAACGGCCCACCUAGUCAACGAUGGAUAGGGGUUCUGAGAGGAAGGUCCCCCACAUUGGAACUGAGACACGGUCCAAACUCCUACGGGAGGCAGCAGUGAGGAAUAUUGGUCAAUGGGCGAUGGCCUGAACCAGCCAAGUAGCGUGAAGGAUGACUGCCCUAUGGGUUGUAAACUUCUUUUAUAAAGGAAUAAAGUCGGGUAUGCAUACCCGUUUGCAUGUACUUUAUGAAUAAGGAUCGGCUAACUCCGUGCCAGCAGCCGCGGUAAUACGGAGGAUCCGAGCGUUAUCCGGAUUUAUUGGGUUUAAAGGGAGCGUAGAUGGAUGUUUAAGUCAGUUGUGAAAGUUUGCGGCUCAACCGUAAAAUUGCAGUUGAUACUGGAUGUCUUGAGUGCAGUUGAGGCAGGCGGAAUUCGUGGUGUAGCGGUGAAAUGCUUAGAUAUCACGAAGAACUCCGAUUGCGAAGGCAGCCUGCUAAGCUGCAACUGACAUUGAGG